Molecule: long non-coding RNA, 2121 nt
Organism: Sorghum bicolor (sorghum)
Lineage: Eukaryota; Viridiplantae; Streptophyta; Magnoliopsida; Poales; Poaceae
Exons: 4
Source: RefSeq, a predicted model, not a curated record
CGCGUCCCCGUUUUUGGAAACAUCGAUGAUUGCGAUCUGCUACCCCUUCUCUACCGUGCCCCGUCCUCCUACGAUCCGCAACAAAAGCAUUCUCCCCUCAGAUUCGCAAGAGGCGCGCCCUCAUCCCCGUGAUUCCCCGCAAUCCCAUGGCCCGAUCCCCUCCCUGGACGUCCAAUCUCGGCCGCGGCCGCGAGCUAUCGAGCGCCGUCGCAACCACCGCCAUGAGCGUCGUCGCAACCGCCACCACGAGCGCCGUCGCAACCGCCGCCACGAGCACGUUGUGACCGCCGCCACAUCCCUGGACGAGAUCGCUGUCAGGACCACCACCACCUCCCUGGACGAGAGCGCAGUCGGGACCAACGCCACGAGCGUCCGAGGCCGCCGGUGGCAACCGUGGAGUUGGGGAUGUGUGCUGCCCUGCUAAAAGUUUGAAGAACAUGAAGUUGUGGUGUUUUGUUUGUUAGAGUUUGCACUUUGAGUUUCUGUUCAACUGCUCCUAUGCGAUUGUUGUCUUCUCAAUCCAUCUCAACAACUAUGGGUGGGCAAACAGGCAAAGGCAAGGUAAUGAGAUGAAAUAUCAUAGAUAAGAACUCAGUAGGUGAAGCAACAAAAGAGAAGCUACUGGCGUCUCAUCAGCAGCAAGAGUCUCCAGCUGAAACUGGCUAAGGAACCGUCGCUGGAUGACCUCGCCAAGCUGUACGCGACGCUAGCGACUCCUACACCGGCCUCUGGAACUGGUCCAUGUCCUUCUCUUGCUCCCCUCUCCUUCCCUAUCUCUCUGUAUAUUUGUUCAGAAAAUAUCUGCUUUGUUACUUGGUUCUCAUGUCGGAGAGGAUGCAACAAUUUUAAAUUGGUAGUGAUUUGUUACUUCUAGAUAACUGCUCCUGUUUUAUGUGUGAAUCAUACGCUUCUGGAUGUUAGAUAGAAAAUGUUGUGACAGCACCUAUAACUUCUUAUUGAUCUGAACCUGAAUUUUCUUAUUGAAGUAAACAACAUGAUGGCUUGUAUUUUAGACAGUCAAGUUGCUAUUCAUGUUAUUUUCAGCAUAUGAUGCUUCCUAGGUUAUUCAUGUUAAUCAAUGUGCUUUAAGGUGUACAAAUUGUGUAUAGUAUUCAUAUUGUUUUCAGCAUAAUUAGGACAGUCAAGUUGCUUUCAAUGUUAUUUUAGGACAGCACCUGCAAGUAUUGAGCCUGAAUGCUACUAAUGCAAGCUUGCAGGCAAAAUUAGUUUGUUUCUAUAUGAAUAUUAAGAUCCUUGUCCUACCACUUGAUGCAAUGGCACAAGAUAAGGAGGCCAAAAAGAUGGAGAAGAAAAAUGCUAAAAAGAAUACCAUAGAAAAAAACUAUAAGAAUGUGUUAAAUAAAAAAUAUAAGGAUAAGAAGACCCCAACAACGGAUGAAACUUUCAUGAAAAAUAUUGUAUAUAAGGAGGUCCUAACGCCAUAAACGAGGUAAUAUUAUUUUACGAACUCAUAUUAAUUCAAAUUUUUUUGCACAAAUGAGAUCUCACUAUCUCCAUAUUUGUUGUUGUUCCUAGGUAUUUUCAAUUGGCAUCUGUUAUAUUACUUGCCAUGCAUUUUCACGGACUCUUGGUGGAAUUACACUUACUGUGUUCGAUUAGAUGAUGCUACCAAUGACAUAUCGUCCGUCGUCUUUGUUGAAGCAGUUCCAGACUUGACGGCGCUAGGUGGAGCGGAGGUGCGGACUCGCGCCGGCGUCUGUCGGCCACGUGUUGAGUUCUCGGCUUCUCGUGCUGACGCCACGGUCCGCCGUCCACGGUCCAGGAACCACCGUGACACUACAUUGAUCAAUCAGAUCAGAAUACGGAGAGGAGGCCUAGGCUAGCUUCCCUUUCCCUUCGUGUCUGGUGGUAAUCGAGGACACUGAUGAGGCCCAUCAAGUGGAACGGAGUCCGUCACACAUUCAGGCGUAUCUAGCUUUCUAUCCCUCCGCCGUACGAGUGUAUAAGUAUAUGUCCAUUUCAUGUACGUAUCAAAUACUCUAUAUUAUUUGUUUUUUUGGUAAGGCGGCCGCCAAGGCUCACCACAUAUCUACCUCUGCCACUGCUCAAUAUUUUCAUGUAUAUAAGUUCAAAUAUAUAUAAAUAAUUUCACAUGAAUAA